GGGCCAGCUUUGGCAGCACAUAUACUAAAAUUGGAACAAUACAGAGACAAUUAGCACUGCCCUCGUGUAAGGAUGACAUGCAGAUCAGUGAAGAGUUCCAUAGUAUU
This is a small nuclear RNA of Jaculus jaculus (lesser Egyptian jerboa), 107 nucleotides long. Lineage: Eukaryota; Metazoa; Chordata; Mammalia; Rodentia; Dipodidae. The record is from Ensembl.